GGGGCCGUAGCGUAGUCCGGUUUAACGCGCCUGCCUGUCACGCAGGAGAUCGAGGGUUCAAAUCCCUUCGGCCCCG
Molecule: transfer RNA, 76 nt
Filed under: Candidatus Margulisiibacteriota bacterium
Lineage: Bacteria; Bacillati; Candidatus Margulisiibacteriota
Description: tRNA-Asp
Rfam family: tRNA
About the family: Transfer RNA (tRNA) molecules are approximately 80 nucleotides in length.
Source: RNAcentral